RNAcentral lists this ribosomal RNA (490 nucleotides) under uncultured bacterium. Its description in RNAcentral is "bacterial SSU rRNA". It matches the Rfam family "Bacterial small subunit ribosomal RNA", at positions 30 to 507 of the family's 1533-position model. The record is from RNAcentral.
AUUGAACGCUGGCGGCAUGCUUUACACAUGCAAGUCGAACGGUAACAGGGAGCUUGCUCCGCUGACGAGUGGCGAACGGGUGAGUAAUGCAUCGGAACGUACCGUGUAAUGGGGGAUAGCCCGGGGAAACCCGGAUUAAUACCGCAUACGCCCCAUGGGGGAAAGGAGGGGAUCUUCGGACCUUUCGCUAUCAGAUGAGCCUAUGUCGGAUUAGCUAGUUGGUGAGGUAAGGGCUCACCAAGGCGACGAUCCGUAACUGGUCUGAGAGGAUGAUCAGUCACACUGGAACUGAGACACGGUCCAGACUCCUACGGGAGGCAGCAGUGGGGAAUAUUGGGCAAUGGGGGAAACCCUGAUCCAGCCAUGCCGCGUGUGCGAUGAAGGCUUUCGGGUUGUAAAGCACUUUCAGUCGGGAGGAAAGGGUAGGCGAGGCGUAAUAAUCCUGUGCAGUUGACGUUACCGACAGAAGAAGACACCGGCAAACUACCGU